UGAGGAAUUUUGCGCAAUGGGAGCAAUCCUGACGCAGCAACGCCGCGUGGGUGAUGAAGGCCUUCGGGUCGUAAAGCCCUGUCAGGUGGGAAGAAUGUCCCGGGACUGAACAGGUUCCGGGAGUGACGGUACCACCAGAGGAAGCACCGGCUAACUCCGUGCCAGCAGCCGCGGUAAUACGGAGGGGGCAAGCGUUAUUCGGAAUUACUGGGCGUACAGCGCGUGUAGGCGGUCCUGCAAGUCGGAGGUGAAAGCCCCGGGCUUAACCCGGGAAGUGCAUUGGAAACUGUGGGACUUGAGUACUGGAGAGGAUGGGGGAAUUCCCGGUGUAGAGGUGAAAUUCGUAGAGAUCGGGAGGAAUAUCAGUGGCGAAGGCGCCCAUCUGGACGGUAACUGACGCUGAGACGCGAAAGCGUGGGGAGCAAACA
Molecule: ribosomal RNA, 428 nt
Filed under: uncultured prokaryote
Description: bacterial SSU rRNA
Rfam family: Bacterial small subunit ribosomal RNA
Source: RNAcentral